Molecule: ribosomal RNA, 585 nt
Filed under: uncultured bacterium
Lineage: Bacteria
Description: bacterial SSU rRNA
Rfam family: Bacterial small subunit ribosomal RNA
Source: RNAcentral
GUGAGUGAAGAAGGCCUUCGGGUUGUAAAGCUCUUUUGUCAGGGAAGAAACAGCAGCUCUAAUACAGUUUGCGAAUGACGGUACCUGAAGAAUAAGCACCGGCUAACUACGUGCCAGCAGCCGCGGUAAUACGUAGGGUGCAAGCGUUAAUCGGAAUUACUGGGCGUAAAGCGUGCGCAGGCGGUUAUGUAAGACAGGCGUGAAAUCCCCGGGCUUAACCUGGGAAUUGCGCUUGUGACUGCAUAGCUAGAGUGUGUCAGAGGGGGGUAGAAUUCCACGUGUAGCAGUGAAAUGCGUAGAUAUGUGGAGGAAUACCAAUGGCGAAGGCAGCCCCCUGGGAUAACACUGACGCUCAUGCACGAAAGCGUGGGGAGCAAACAGGAUUAGAUACCCUGGUAGUCCACGCCCUAAACGAUGCUGACUAGUUGUUCGGGAAUUUAUUCCUGAGUAACGUAGCUAACGCGUGAAGUCAGCCGCCUGGGGAGUACGGUCGCAAGAUUAAAACUCAAAGGAAUUGACGGGGACCCGCACAAGCGGUGGAUGAUGUGGAUAAAUUCGAUGCAACGCGAAAAACCUUACCUAACC